RNAcentral lists this ribosomal RNA (305 nucleotides) under uncultured bacterium. RNAcentral's name for it is "bacterial SSU rRNA". It matches the Rfam family "Bacterial small subunit ribosomal RNA", at positions 331 to 655 of the family's 1533-position model. The record is from RNAcentral.
CAUGACCUACGGGGGGCAGCAGUGGGGGAUAUUGCACAAUGGGGGAAACCCUGAUGCAGCGACGCCGCGUGUGGGAAGACGGUCUUCUGGAUUGUAAACCACUGUCCCCAGGGACGAAAAUGACGGUACCUGGGGAGGAAGCUCCGGCUAACUCCGUGCCAGCAGCCGCGGUAAUACGGAGGAUGCGAGCGUUAUCCGGAUUUAUUGGGUUUAAAGGGUGCGUAGGCGGAUUUUUAAGUCAGCGGUAAAAUGUCCGGGCUCAACCCGGGCCGGCCGUUGAAACUGGGGAUCUUGAGUGGGCGAGG